This 361-nucleotide ribosomal RNA is filed under the name Henicops dentatus. Its description in RNAcentral is "partial 16S ribosomal RNA". It matches the Rfam family "Bacterial large subunit ribosomal RNA", at positions 1923 to 2518 of the family's 2925-position model. Lineage: Eukaryota; Metazoa; Arthropoda; Chilopoda; Lithobiomorpha; Henicopidae. The record is from RNAcentral.
UUAAAUGGCCGCAGUAUUUUGACUGUGCGACGUAGCAUAAUCAUUAGUCUAUUAAUUGUAGGCUGGUAUGAAUGGCUAGAUGGAAAAAAGCUGUCUUCUUCUUAUAAGAUGAAAUUAAGAUUUAUGUGAAGACGCAUAAAUUUAGGAAGGGGACGAGAAGACCCUAUUAAGCUUUAUAUGUAAAUUCUAUUUAAGAGUGUAGAAGUAAAUAUUUUGUUGGGGCGAUAGUAGAAUUAAACAUCUGUUUAUUUUAAAUAAUAUAAUUAUAUGAUAUAUGGUCCAAAAGAUUUGAUUAUAAGAAUAAGUUACUGUAGGGAUAACAGCGUAAUCUCAUCAGAGAGUUCAUAUUGAUGAUGGGGAU